Long non-coding RNA from Ochotona curzoniae (black-lipped pika), 254 nucleotides. RefSeq lists it as uncharacterized. The record is from RefSeq and is a predicted model, not a curated record. Lineage: Eukaryota; Metazoa; Chordata; Mammalia; Lagomorpha; Ochotonidae. The transcript has 2 exons.
GGAGCAGUGCACACUGAGAAACAUUGAACACAGACCCUGAGGAGCAACACAGAAGUGGAAGGGAUGAGCCAAUGAGCCAAGAUGGACUUUGAAAGACCAACUCAAGCUAACCGAAUCAGCUACGAUUGAGGUGCUGACAAGACAGGUCCCAUGUGAGGAAACAGAAACAGGACUACGGACACUGGCAGAGGGGGUCAGGUAUCCCUGGCUCUGAAGAAGAGGAGCCUGCCCUACUAUGUCACAUGGCAGAAGAA